AUAAAAGCAAUGAAGAGGAUACGCAUUAUUUUUACAGCUAGCAGAGAGGGAAGAGUAGGUGAGAGCUUCCUAGACAUGGAAAAUAGUGUACCACCUCAUGAGCUGUGUUGGGGAAAUACGAGUAACCAACGCCGUAUUGCUACGUUACAGCAGAUGGAGUCAAGCAUUACCGGUCGAUGCUUGGGAAAUUAGGUGGAACCACGGAUAACACAUUCGUCCUUAUG
Molecule: non-coding RNA, 224 nt
Filed under: Virgibacillus chiguensis
Lineage: Bacteria; Bacillati; Bacillota; Bacilli; Caryophanales; Bacillaceae
Description: T-box sequence
Rfam family: T-box leader
About the family: Uncharged tRNA acts as the effector for transcription antitermination of genes in the T-box leader family. T-boxes are found upstream of many aminoacyl-tRNA synthetase genes and some amino acid biosynthetic genes usually in Gram-positive bacteria.
Source: RNAcentral